CGAAGGGUGCAAGCGUUACUCGGAAUUACUGGGCGUAAAGCGUGCGUAGGUGGUUUGUUAAGUCUGAUGCGAAAGCCCUGGGCCCAACCUGGGAAUGGCAUUGGAUACUGGCGAGCUAGAGUGCGGUAGAGGGCAGUGGAAUUCCCGGUGUAGCAGUGAAAUGCGUAGAGAUCGGGAGGAACAUCUGUGGCGAAGGCGACUGCCUGGACCAGCACUGACACUGAGGCACGAAAGCGUGGGGAGCAAACAGGAUUAGAUACCCUGGUAGUCCACGCCCUAAACGAUGCGAACUGGAUGUUGGGUGCAACUAGGCACUCAGUAUCGAAGCUAACGCGUUAAGUUCGCCGCCUGGGGAGUACGGUCGCAAGACUG
Molecule: ribosomal RNA, 372 nt
Filed under: uncultured organism
Description: bacterial SSU rRNA
Rfam family: Bacterial small subunit ribosomal RNA
Source: RNAcentral